This 407-nucleotide ribosomal RNA is filed under the name Pseudomonas koreensis. RNAcentral describes it as "bacterial SSU rRNA". It matches the Rfam family "Bacterial small subunit ribosomal RNA", at positions 115 to 518 of the family's 1533-position model. Lineage: Bacteria; Pseudomonadati; Pseudomonadota; Gammaproteobacteria; Pseudomonadales; Pseudomonadaceae. The record is from RNAcentral.
GCCUAGGAAUCUGCCUGGUAGUGGGGGACAACGUUUCGAAAGGAACGCUAAUACCGCAUACGUCCUACGGGAGAAAGCAGGGGACCUUCGGGCCUUGCGCUAUCAGAUGAGCCUAGGUCGGAUUAGCUAGUUGGUGAGGUAAUGGCUCACCAAGGCGACGAUCCGUAACUGGUCUGAGAGGAUGAUCAGUCACACUGGAACUGAGACACGGUCCAGACUCCUACGGGAGGCAGCAGUGGGGAAUAUUGGACAAUGGGCGAAAGCCUGAUCCAGCCAUGCCGCGUGUGUGAAGAAGGUCUUCGGAUUGUAAAGCACUUUAAGUUGGGAGGAAGGGUUGUAGAUUAAUACUCUGCAAUUUUGACGUUACCGACAGAAUAAGCACCGGCUAACUCUGUGCCAGCAGCCGC